RNAcentral lists this ribosomal RNA (658 nucleotides) under Ocellularia aff. allosporoides Lumbsch 19756w. Its description in RNAcentral is "SSU rRNA". It matches the Rfam family "Bacterial small subunit ribosomal RNA", at positions 401 to 1090 of the family's 1533-position model. Lineage: Eukaryota; Fungi; Ascomycota; Lecanoromycetes; Ostropales; Graphidaceae. The record is from RNAcentral.
AUGUAUAGGGAAAACUGGUAAAAUGUGAUGUACCUAAUAGUAUUAGAAAUAAAAUAUGAAAUUAACUAAGUUAAUUAAAAUUCUAAGUAGGUAUGUGAUUAUGACAAUAUCUGCAUAGGUCUUGACCAAGUCACGUGCCAGCAGUCGCGGUAAUACGUGGAAGACGAGUGUUAUUCAUCUUUAUUCGGUUUAAAGGGUACCUAGACAGUUAAUUAAGCAAUUAGAUGUACUAAUUAACUAGAGUUUAAUGUAAGAAGGAUUGAGUACGGUGAGAGUAGAGAUAAAAUUUUUUGAUACCACUUAGGAACUGGUAACAGCGAAGGCUACCUUCAAUGUAAAAAACUGACGUUAAGGGACGAAGGCUUGUAACAAAUAAUAGGAUUAGAUACCCUAGUAUUUUGAGCAGAAAAUGAUGAGUGUCAUAUACAAGAUAAAUGUUUUGUGUAUAAAUGAAAGUGUAAGCACUCCACCUCAAGAGUAACGUGGCAACAUGGGAACUGAAAUCAUUAGACCGUUUCUGAAACUCGUAGUGAAGUAUGUUGUUUAAUUUGAUGGUCCUCAAAUAACCUUACCACAAUUUGUAUAACUAUUGUACGAUAGUUACAAGCGUUGCACGGCUGUCUUCAGUCAAUGUUGUGAAACUUUGGUUAGAUCCAUU